CCUACGGGUGACAGCAGUGAGGAAUAUUGGUCAAUGGGCGGACGACUGAACCAGCCAAGUCGCGUGAGGGAAGAAGGCCCUGUGGGUUGUAAACCUCUUUUGUCAGGGAGCAACGCCGGCUACGUGUAGCCGGACUGAGAGAACCGGAAGAAAAAGCAUGGGCAAACUCCGUGCCAGCAGCCGCGGUAAUACGGAGGAUGCGAGCGUUAUCCGGAUUUAUUGGGUUAAAGGGGUGCGUAGGCGGAAUGCCAAGUCAGCGGUAAAAUCGCGGGGCUCAACCUCGCUCCGCCGUUGAAACUGGCGGUCUUGAGUGGGCGAGAAGUAUGCGGAAUGCGUGGUGUAGCGGUGAAAUGCAUAGAUAUCACGCAGAACUCCGAUUGCGAAGGCAGCAUACCGGCUCCCCACUGACGCUGAGGCACGAAAGCGUGGGUAUCGAACAGGAUUAGAUACCCUAGUAGUC
This 460-nucleotide ribosomal RNA is filed under the name uncultured bacterium. RNAcentral's name for it is "partial 16S ribosomal RNA". It matches the Rfam family "Bacterial small subunit ribosomal RNA", at positions 338 to 795 of the family's 1533-position model. The record is from RNAcentral.